AUGAGUAUCAUCUGCUGGAACUGUCGAGGUUUGGGGUCGGACUCGACAGUUGGCGAGCUUCGCUGGCUUGUGAAGCUUUACCGCCCCUCCCUCAUCUUUCUUUCGGAGACGAAGAUGAGGGAUUCUCGAGUGAGGAACUUCAUGUGGUCUCUGGGUUUUGCUGGAUGUUUUGUUGUUAGUAGUGCGGGUCUUAGUGGUGGCUUGGCCUUGUUUUGGUCAUCCUCUGCAGAAGUGUCAGUUGAAGCGGCUAAUAAGCGUUGUAUUGAUGCUCGGGUGAAACUGAAUGAGGGCGUGCACUGGCGUGCGACCUUUGUAUAUGGGGAAACAAGGCGGGAAGACGGACCUCAGUUCUGGGAGCUUCUUCGUCGGUUGCAGCCUGCUUGGAAUGGCCCAUGGCUAUGUUGUGGGGAUUUUAAUGAGGUCCUCUCAGAGGAUGAACACUUGGUUCAUCGGGAUCGCUCAAAGACUCAGAUUUCAGCCUUUAGAGAUUGCCUGAUGGACUGUGGGUUAACUGACUUGGGCUGCUUGGGUCCUAAAUUUACAUGGUGCAACAGGCAGGACACAAAUAGCCAUGUCAAGUGCCGGCUUGACCGGGCCGUGGCAAAUGCAGCUUUUACCAAUUUGUUUGAUAGUUGUGGUGUUGAGAACCUCAUUGCCACUACUUAA
Molecule: ribosomal RNA, 666 nt
Filed under: Triticum aestivum (bread wheat)
Lineage: Eukaryota; Viridiplantae; Streptophyta; Magnoliopsida; Poales; Poaceae
Description: partial small subunit ribosomal RNA
Source: RNAcentral